This is a long non-coding RNA of Mesocricetus auratus (golden hamster), 887 nucleotides long. RefSeq lists it as uncharacterized. The transcript is spliced from 4 exons. The record is from RefSeq and is a predicted model, not a curated record. Lineage: Eukaryota; Metazoa; Chordata; Mammalia; Rodentia; Cricetidae.
GCCCCAGUCACUGUGAUUUCUGGCCUACUUGUGUCUAGUCAGUCACUUGGGAAGCUCACUGCGGGCUGGCACCCCCAGACUGGCAGAUAAAACAAGUCAAGGGCUGGCUGCUGGAGGGUCCCAGGAGCUCAAAGGGAAUAGUGCAAGACCACCAAACGCCAAGCCUGUGUAGGGGCAACCAGAUAUUUGUCUCCAGGAGCAACCAGCUUGUUUUGAAUUUGCUCUGAAAUCUAAAGUUAACUGUCUGCGUAGAAGGCUGUCAGUUGUGACUGAGAAUCCUGUGUCGAUCUGAGAGGUUCCAGGCUUACCUGAACUCUAGAAUUAACCUGUUCCUGCCUAAGAAGCUCCCUCCUGUCAAACUCUCCCAGCCAGUGCUGCUGCUAUGGGAUUUUGUUCAUGGGGCCCCAAACCAGCAGAGCUUUUCCAAAUCCUGACAAGAUAUCGCAAGUCACUCCUUAUUUAAGAGGCCAUGGAAAUUCAUAGUAGCUAUGGAGGACUGGUCCCAGAACCUAUGGAUGCUCACAUUCCUCAUACAGAGUAAUAUAACAUUUGCACAUAAGUUCUGGGCAGGUGCAGUGACCACAGUCAGCCAUGUGAAUAAGAGGAUACAAUCAGAGCUCUGGGAAGGUACAGUGACCACAGUCAGCCAUGUGACUAAGAGGACAUGACCAGAGACCAGAGUCCUGGGCAGGUACAGUGACCACAGUCAGCUAUGUGACUCAGAGGACAUGACCAGAGCUCUGGAGUGUCCUAUUACUGAGCUUUGAUGUUAGGUAGCUUAAAAUGUUAUUUCCUACUUAGGAUAUUUUCAUCUGUAAUGGGCCCAAUGAUCUGUAACCCAUCAGAACUCAAGAACACUGUACUCCCUAACUGCAGGCUGAAAGUUU